RNAcentral lists this ribosomal RNA (279 nucleotides) under uncultured bacterium. Its description in RNAcentral is "partial 16S ribosomal RNA". It matches the Rfam family "Bacterial small subunit ribosomal RNA", at positions 506 to 784 of the family's 1533-position model. The record is from RNAcentral.
UGCCAGCAGCCGCGGUAAUACAGAGACUCCAAGCGUUAUUCGGAAUCACUGGGCUUAAAGGGUGCGUAGGCGGGCAAGUAGGUCAGAUGUGAAAGCCCACGGCUCAACCGUGGAAUUGCGUUUGAAACCACUUGUCUUGAGGGGAUCAGAGGAGAGCGGAACUGAUGGUGGAGCGGUGAAAUGCGUUGAUAUUAUCAGGAACACCGGUGGCGAAAGCGGCUCUCUGGGAUCUUUCUGACGCUGAGGCACGAAAGCUAGGGGAGCGAACGGGAUUAGAUA